This 450-nucleotide ribosomal RNA is filed under the name uncultured bacterium. RNAcentral describes it as "partial 16S ribosomal RNA". It matches the Rfam family "Bacterial small subunit ribosomal RNA", at positions 354 to 796 of the family's 1533-position model. The record is from RNAcentral.
GUGGGGAAUUUUGGACAAUGGGCGAAAGCCUGAUCCAGCCAUGCCGCGUGCAGGAUGAAGGCCUUCGGGUUGUAAACUGCUUUUGUACGGAACGAAAAGACUCCUUCUAAUAAAGGGGGUCCAUGACGGUACCGUAAGAAUAAGCACCGGCUAACUACGUGCCAGCAGCCGCGGUAAUACGUAGGGUGCAAGCGUUAGUCGGAAUUACUGGGCGUAAAGCGUGCGCAGGCGGUUAUAUAAGACAGAUGUGAAAUCCCCGGGCUCAACCUGGGAACUGCAUUUGUGACUGUAUAGCUAGAGUACGGUAGAGGGGGAUGGAAUUCCGCGUGUAGCAGUGAAAUGCGUAGAUAUGCGGAGGAACACCGAUGGCGAAGGCAAUCCCCUGGACCUGUACUGACGCUCAUGCACGAAAGCGUGGGGAGCAAACAGGAUUAGAAACCCUAGUAGUCC